GCAACCUUUAAGAACAGCGUUGUUGAAGAGAGGCAUUCCAGUGAAGCAGAAGGUAGCCUUGUGGGAAAACUGAAGCAGGAAGCGUUAGCCCCCUUCUUUCAGAUUGAAAGGAUGAGGGAUAUUGCCUCCUGCAAACACUGAAUCAGUUUGGUUGCGGAACCAGCCUAGUCAUCCAGAGCCUAUGGUACGUUAGCUAUGCCACUUUGUUUCCAAGUUGGCUGCUGUCUCUGAUAUUAGAGACUCUGUCCUCUGUGAUAAAAUCAUUGAGGCUGUAGAUAGAGCUCUAUCAGUAGGGCAGCAAGAAAAUGUCUCUGCUGCAAAGUCUCUAAGCACAGGGUCUUAUAUAUAAGCUCUGUCAGCCAAAUCAACAGCUCCUCAGAUAUUGAUCUCAAUCUAGUCCAGCUGCAAUAGGACUGACUAUGGAAAUAGCCAUGUGAAAAUGUCCCACACUGGCAUGGCUAAGCCAAGGCUGACGCCCAUCUGAAAGCUGGGUGCACGGUCCAGACUGCAAUAGCAGAG
This 519-nucleotide long non-coding RNA is filed under the name Apteryx owenii (little spotted kiwi). RNAcentral describes it as "lncRNA (ENSAOWG00000005696.1)". Lineage: Eukaryota; Metazoa; Chordata; Aves; Apterygiformes; Apterygidae. The record is from RNAcentral.